CCUGGACAUUUUUUUAAAAGACUUUAUUUAUUUAUUAUGUAUACAACAUUCUGCUUCCAUUCUUCCACCAGAAGAGGGCACCGGACCUCGUGACAGAUGGUUAUGAGCCACCAUGUGGUUGCUGGGAAUUGAACUCAGGACCUCUGGAAGAACAGUCGGUGCUCUUAACCGCUGAGCCAUCAUCUCUCCAACCCAUUCCCUGGACAUUUUAACAAACACGUGCAUUUACACAUAGGAACACUCACAUAAAACUCCCUUGCUCAUUCAUAGACAAGACCGAGUGCCCCCAUGCCUCUUGGAUUCAGUGUCACCAAGGAAAUUGCUGAUCUGCCAAAGAACUCUCCGAGCAAAGCUGUGAAGUGGAGAAAGGGUAACAAAAGGCCGUGGAGAAGGACACUGAAAGGUCAUCCAGAAGACCUGGAUCCCGAAAUGCAAACAUCGGCGGUCUCCUUAAAUCCACGCAUCCAGGAAGGUGUUCAUAACCUCUUCUCAAGUGGCCAGAGCCAGGAUCAUACAGCAUAAGGAUGAAGCUGCCCUCUGAGCAUGCCCAUAUACUUUUCUUU
RNAcentral lists this long non-coding RNA (563 nucleotides) under Cricetulus griseus (Chinese hamster). RNAcentral's name for it is "lncRNA (ENSCGRG00000024540.1)". Lineage: Eukaryota; Metazoa; Chordata; Mammalia; Rodentia; Cricetidae. The record is from RNAcentral.